UUACAGAGUUACACUGAGCAAAGCACAAAAGAGCACGUCCAAAAAUAUAGAUUAAAAAGAAAAAGAUUGUCCCUUUCUUUUCUAUGUUAUAUUAUUCUUUUCAGUCUUCUUCUUAAUCUCUUCUUCAUCACAGAUCAGUGACCUCUUUUUAGGUACAUUCACUUCUAUUUUUUGCUCUUUUUCUACUUUUUGAUGCUAAAUGCAAAAAAAGGUAAUACUCUUUUUUCGUGAAUUAAAUUUAUGAUUGCUGUAUUUUAAAAAUCUCCACUUUUAACUCAGUAUAAAUUUUGUAUUUAAGUGGUCGGUCAACAUUGGUUUUAUCAUUCUAGGAGGUUUUAUAUAAAGAUUAUAUUUUGGAAUGUGGGUAGUGAUGAUUUCUUUAAUUUGUAUUGUUUUCCAGGUUUUAGGUUAUUCACAUUUGGAUUCGUAUUAUAGUUGUUCAAGAGUUUAAGGGCAAGCUAUAGUUUGUGAUACAGCUAAAUAAUUUUGGGGUUUUUCCAAGUUCAAAUUUUGAGUGUGGAGUAAGCUCUUUUUUUUUUAUAAAAUCUUUUGGACAAGUAAAAGAAUCCCACUUUUAACUCACUGUAAAAUGUUUAUUUAAUUGGUAGGUCAACAUUUGUUUUCAUUUUGGAAUGUGGGUUGUGAUUAUUUCUUAAUUUGUUUUUUUUUUGAGUUCGAGUCUCCCCAAGAGCAAAAGUGGGAAGUUGUUGGAGUUAAGGAUGCUGGAGGUCUAUUUGGAAACAGCCUCUCUACCCAAGGGUGGGGUAAGGUGUGCGUACACACUACCCUCCCCAGACCCCACUAAAUGGGAUUAUACUGGAUUGUUGUUGUUGUGCU
RNAcentral lists this long non-coding RNA (837 nucleotides) under Nicotiana benthamiana. RNAcentral's name for it is "long non-coding RNA (NBEN_LNC020262)". Lineage: Eukaryota; Viridiplantae; Streptophyta; Magnoliopsida; Solanales; Solanaceae. The record is from RNAcentral.